Molecule: non-coding RNA, 2634 nt
Organism: Manis javanica (Malayan pangolin)
Lineage: Eukaryota; Metazoa; Chordata; Mammalia; Pholidota; Manidae
Source: RefSeq, a predicted model, not a curated record
GGGAAGCCGCCUGUGUCCCCGCGCAUCGCCCUUACCUUGCUCUCGAGAGGCCACGAUCCGGGCGGGCCGCGCGGGGCGCGUGGUGCGCGAGCGCGCGCGCGUGGGGCGGUAGAUGCUCUGCUUCCGGUCUCCCUGGGAAAGCUGCCUUUGAACUCUGAGGAUGAACCCAAGUGAAAGAAGUUUUCUUUCCCAGAUACUUCAAUAGUGAUGAGUUAAUGCAGUGAAUCUGUUACACAAAGGUGUUGAAGGAACUGGAAGUACAACAUGGGGAAGAAAAUCUACAAAAUGCAGAAAGAUAUGAAGAAGGAAACAAGCCAUAAUGGUCCUCUUACCACCCAGAGAUAACCAUUUGCAUGCCGGUGUACAUUCUCUCAGUGUUCUUUCUGUAUGUAUGUGUGUGCAAGUAUGGAAGAGCAUGUGUGCUUGUGUUAUAUAUAUCUAUCUACAGGUGAUUAAAAAAUAAUUUAACAAAUCACAAUAUUCAGUUAUACCGUGUAACUUCUACUCAUAAGCAUAUGUCAAAAACUUUAUGUUAGUACCACUUUUUUGAUUAUAUGUUCAUAUGUAAUUUAGUUAUGGAACAAUUCAUUUUUAUAAGUAUCCAUUUCUUCUGAAUAAUUUUAUAUUUUAAAAAGAUCUAUUGUAUAUACAGUUUAUAUUCUGAUCUUUUCACUUACCAUUGUAUCAUGGCUGUUUUUCCAUGUCAUUAAAUAUCAUAUGAAAAGUACAGUCUCCCCAUCUACAGUCCCUGGAAGGGACAACCUUCAUUACCACAUGACCCUGCUCACCUCUCAAUGCUUUUAGUCAUAGCUGAUAGGACCAGAGCUAGGCACCUGACACAUAGGGCCAAAAACCAUAAAUCCAACUACGGCAAUUAAUUAGUCGCUCUCAAGAAUUUAGUUGGAGGGACACAGGCUGUGAUGAACAUCUUGCUCAUAAAUUUUUGUGUAUGAUUAUUCCUUAGGGCACAUUCCUAGAAGGUCAAUUACCUAGUCAAAUGAUUGGCAACAUUAAAUAUCUUGAUAGAUUUUGCCAAGUUGCUCUCCAGGAAAGUUGUAUGCACAUCUACAUGCAUUGUAAAAUGCCUUGCCGAUGUCCACUUUUCAAUUUGCAUUAGGAGAGAGAUGUUAAUUUAUUUGAAAGGUCAUACAUUAACAUAGUUCGAUAAAAAAGUAGUAAUGAAAGCCCACAAAGGGGGCUUAGUCAGGCUGUGUGUUUCUCUGUAUUGAUCUGUGCACAUUUUUAAAAAACUUUAAUGGAGCCCAAGUAGUUUGAAAGGUCAGCUUCAAGCAGUUGCCAUGGGACCUAGUGGAUGGAGUCUGUGGCACUAGCAAGAAAGAAAUUGAGUGUGAAGAUGCCAUAGGAAGGCGGCAGACAGGUUUUGAUGGGUAUGUUGGGCGAAUAAGGAGGCAGUAGCCAUCAGCUUUCUUUGAGCUACUCUUUGCCUCUCUCCCAUAGUUGGAAGUACCAAAGGAUAGUCUGUUUCCCUCACAACACUUAGCAAAGGUUUUUCCAUUUUGUAGCUGAGAAGAAAUAAUGAGAUAUUUGAAAGGGAAGAGGAUUCUGCUGACAUGGUCAAAGGCCUGAGCACCCUCGUUCAUGUCUAGUGUAGAAUGGAAGCAAAGGUUUUCUGAAUACUGAUAUGGUGUCCUCCAAUUAUGGUCCAUAGAUUAUAAGCUAAGACUGGAUUUUGUAUUUUUAAAUAAGUGAAAAAAUAAAAGAAGAUCUAUUGUAUGAUACAUGAAAGUUUAAUGGCAUUCAAAUUUCAGCAUGCAUCAGUAAAGUAACUGAACAGUUGAAUAGUUGUGACAGAGAUCGUAUGGUCCACGAAGCCUAAAUAUUUGCUAUCUGGCCCUUUACAGACAUAGUCAGCCCACUCCUGUGAGGGUAGAGUAGCUUCCAUUUAUUGAGCACUUACUGUGUGCUCAAGAAGCGAUUUCUAAUAUAGAAAUAAUUUUACAUGCAUUUCCUCAAUUUUCACAACUCUUCCUGCUGGAUGAUAAACUGAGACACAUUAAAAAAAUUAAAGAGUUUGAGCAAAAAUAAAUUCAAAUUGAGCAGCAUCCAAUCUAGCAGAUAGAAAGGAGCUCUAGGAGGUGCGCAAAAUGAAAGACCUUUAUAGGCAUGAGGGAGCAGGAACAAGGAAGUUACACUGGCAAAAAAGCAGAUGGGUUAAUACUUUCCUUUAGGGACUGGCAGAGUCUGUUAGGCAGACUACCUAAGUAGUGCUGAUCAGGUGGUUCCUGACUGACUCGUUUAAGACUCAAUUUCUGGGAGAGCUGAAGCUGUAAUUAGGUUAAGUCUUAGAUUAGGGACUUAGCAUAAGUGACUCCAUUUGGGGUAUGCUGUGGUGUUUCUAACACAUGAAAUAGUGGAUAUAUUAUUUAUCUACAUUUUACAUCUAGGAAAAGUGAGGGUUGAAGAUGUUUUCCAUGCCUGGAAAAAUGGUAGAGCUGAGUUUCAAAGCCAGGUAUCUAACCAGAGAAACUGAAAGUUUAAUUCUUUUACCUAAGAGUGGUCAAUGGACAUCUUUCUAUAAUGUAUAUUAGAUUGUACUGUCUUCUCUGAUCACUGUAUCAUGCUGAACCUGCAGCUGGUAUGGAAGAGGAAGGAACUGGAAGAUAUCUGGUAUAG